GUUUAAGGCCCACGCUGAUUGGAAACCCUAGUCCUACGAUAUGUACCAAACCAAGAUCGAUCUAACCGAGUCACCUGGAGAGGGGUUCUGCGAAAAGAGACGAGAGAGAGAGAGAGAGAGAGAGAGAGACGAAGAGAGACUCUUGAGUCACCAUGAGGGCUAAGUGGAAGAAGAAGCGCAUGAGGAGGUUGAAGAGGAAGCGCCGAAAGAUGAGACAAAGAUCCAAGUAGACUAUGCAUUUUGACAACGUGGGCUUCUCCUGAUUUGCCACCUUCUUUCACAGUUGUUGGCAGGUGUUGUCCGGGGAGUAGGUGGGGGAAUUCAAAGGAGGAGUGUUCUUUGUCCAGUGCAGUUUCUAUAUUAAACUUUUGUAGCACUAUCAAGAGUUUAGUGUUAAAUGUUUGAGGGUACUCGUUUGAUAUCUCAUUUCUGUGACUGAAUAACUUAUAUAUUAACCUUCAGUUUGAAC
Molecule: long non-coding RNA, 469 nt
Organism: Camellia sinensis
Lineage: Eukaryota; Viridiplantae; Streptophyta; Magnoliopsida; Ericales; Theaceae
Source: RefSeq, a predicted model, not a curated record